CCUACGGGAGGCAGCAGUGAGGAAUAUUGGUCAAUGGGCGGAAGCCUGAACCAGCCAAGUCGCGUGAGGGAUGAAGGUUCUAUGGAUUGUAAACUUCUUUUAUAAGGGAAUAAAGUGUGGGACGUGUCCUAUUUUGUAUGUACCUUAUGAAUAAGGAUCGGCUAACUCCGUGCCAGCAGCCGCGGUAAUACGGAGGAUGCGAGCGUUAUCCGGAUUUAUUGGGUUUAAAGGGUGCGUAGGCGGGUUAUCAAGUCAGCGGUAAAAUCGUGGGGCUCAACCCCUGCCAGCCGUUGAAACUGUUGGUCUUGAGAGGGCGAGAAGUAUGCGGAAUGCGUGGUGUAGCGGUGAAAUGCUUAGAUAUCACGCAGAACUCCGAUUGCGAAGGCAGCAUACCGGCGCCCAACUGACGCUGAGGCACGAAAGCGUGGGUAUCGAACAGGAUUAGAUACCCGUGUAGUC
Molecule: ribosomal RNA, 459 nt
Filed under: uncultured bacterium
Lineage: Bacteria
Description: partial 16S ribosomal RNA
Rfam family: Bacterial small subunit ribosomal RNA
Source: RNAcentral